RNAcentral lists this small RNA (420 nucleotides) under Malus domestica (apple). Its description in RNAcentral is "sRNA MD05G0022100". Lineage: Eukaryota; Viridiplantae; Streptophyta; Magnoliopsida; Rosales; Rosaceae. The record is from RNAcentral.
AGUGUUUGGUAAUGAGUGGAUGUAAUGGGUGUAUGGGUGGAUGUUUGGUAAUGAGUGGAUGUAAUGGGUGUAGUGGAUGAGUGUUUGGUAAUGAGUGGAUGUAAUGGGUGUAGUGGAUGGAUGUUUGGAGUUGUAGGUCAACACACUUGCACACACACAUGCUGAUUUCUAGCCUUCAAAUCUUCAAAAACGUCCAUCCUCAUGUCUCCAUGCUUGCACUAUCCAAUCUUGGCUCAAAAAUGCUCUAAAAUGCUCCAAAAUGCACUUUUUUGCCAACUUAGUUAUUAUGACCUACAAACACACGAAAAUAGCUUAAAAUACAUAAUUAACUAAGAAAUAACAACACAAAUGCACAAGAACAAGCUAACUAAGUCGCAUAAAUAUGCUCCUAUCAAAUUCCCCCACACUUAGCUUUUGCUA